This is a long non-coding RNA of Salvia miltiorrhiza (redroot sage), 630 nucleotides long. RefSeq lists it as uncharacterized. Lineage: Eukaryota; Viridiplantae; Streptophyta; Magnoliopsida; Lamiales; Lamiaceae. The transcript has 2 exons. The record is from RefSeq and is a predicted model, not a curated record.
UGGUGCUCAUGAUUGAUUUGCAAGGCAUUGCAACAAUGUUUUUAAUAACCAAACAAACCAAAAAAAAAAGUAGUAGUGAACCUAAACUUGACCCUUGUCUAAGCAAAAACACACUGCAAGUUUCUCUCUCUAGACUUGGUGUUUCUCUCUCCUAACUUGCUUAAAUUGUUGAACAUGUCUUGAGCACUCACCCUCUCCUCCAAAUGGGGUGGCUGCAAUCCCUCAUCUCCCCCUUCAAGAAGCUGUGGAUUCGUCUCAAUUCAGCUCAGAAGAAGAGUAGAGGGAUAUACAUUUUGUACGAGGAUGUGAAAUCGUGCCCUUACGAAGACGUGCACGUGCUUUGGUCGAUAUUGGUGGAGUCGCAUCGGCAGCCGCCGCCGCUGCCGCUGCCGGUGCCAUCGCCGCCGUCGUCGCCGCCGAAAUGAUGACUCCAUUAGCAAGGAAGAAUCAAAGAGAUGAAAAGUGACAUACAUACAUACAUGUACAUAAGAUAGAAACUUUUUUUUCUUUUUCUUUUUUUGAUUACGUUUUGUUUUUUCACAUUUCACAUUAUGGGGCUUUCAAUUUUUUUUCGAGUGAGGUAAACAUAAUACAGAAUGUCUAUAAAUUAUUGAAAUUCAUAGAGUGAAA